RNAcentral lists this ribosomal RNA (405 nucleotides) under uncultured bacterium. Its description in RNAcentral is "partial 16S ribosomal RNA". It matches the Rfam family "Bacterial small subunit ribosomal RNA", at positions 30 to 526 of the family's 1533-position model. The record is from RNAcentral.
AUUGAACGCUAGCGGGAUGCUUUACACAUGCAAGUCGAACGAGUGGCGGACGGGUGCGUAAUAUCUCGGAACGUGCCCAGUAGCGGGGGAUAACUACUCGAAAGCGUGGCUCAUCCCGCAUACCAUCGGAGCGGCCGAUAUCGGAUUAGCUGGUUGGUGGGGUAAAGGCUCACAAAGGCGACGAUCCGUAGCUGGUUUGAGAGGACGACCAGCCACACUGGGACUGAGACACGGCCCAGAUUCCUACGGGAGGCAGCAGUGGGGAAUUUUGGACAAUGGGGGAAACCCUGAUCCAGCCAUCCCGCGUGUAUGAGAAGGCCUUCGGGUUGUAAAGUACUUUUGGCAGGGAAGCGGUAUCUGCAGAAUAAGCACCGGCUAACUACGUGCCAGCAGCCGCGGUAAUUC